UGCCAGCCUCCGCGGUACUACUGAUUGUGCAAGCGUUAAUCGGAAUUACUGGGCGUAAAGCGCGCGUAGGCGGCAUAUUCAGUCGGAUGUGAAAUCCCUCGGCUUAACCGGGGAACUGCAUUCGAUACUAGUAUGCUUGAGUCCUGGAGAGGGGAGUGGAAUUCCCGGUGUAGAGGUGGAAUUCGUAGAUAUCGGGAGGAACAUCUGUGGCGAAGGCGACUCUCUGGACAGUGACUGACGCUGAGGCUCGAAAGCGUGGGUAGCAAACAGGAUUAGAUA
This 279-nucleotide ribosomal RNA is filed under the name uncultured bacterium. RNAcentral's name for it is "partial 16S ribosomal RNA". It matches the Rfam family "Bacterial small subunit ribosomal RNA", at positions 506 to 784 of the family's 1533-position model. The record is from RNAcentral.